ACUCCUACGGGAGGCAGCAGUAGGGAAUAUUGCGCAAUGGGGGCAACCCUGACGCAGCAACGCCGCGUGAGUGAGGAAGGUCUUCGGAUUGUAAAACUCUUUUAUUUGGGAAAAAUGUCUAUGAAGUUAAUACCUUUAUAGAGUGAUGGUACCAAAGGAAUAAGCACCGGCUAACUUCGUGCCAGCAGCCGCGGUAAUAC
RNAcentral lists this ribosomal RNA (200 nucleotides) under uncultured bacterium. RNAcentral describes it as "partial 16S ribosomal RNA". It matches the Rfam family "Bacterial small subunit ribosomal RNA", at positions 335 to 526 of the family's 1533-position model. The record is from RNAcentral.